GCCGCCAUGGCGGAACUGGUAGACGCAGGGGACUUAAAAUCCCCCGGCCUUAAACCCGUGCCGGUUCGAUUCCGGCUGGCGGCACCA
RNAcentral lists this transfer RNA (87 nucleotides) under Agathobaculum butyriciproducens. RNAcentral's name for it is "tRNA-Leu". It matches the Rfam family "tRNA". Rfam says of the family: Transfer RNA (tRNA) molecules are approximately 80 nucleotides in length. RNAcentral also lists the same sequence under 3 other names. The record is from RNAcentral. Lineage: Bacteria; Bacillati; Bacillota; Clostridia; Eubacteriales; Butyricicoccaceae.